RNAcentral lists this long non-coding RNA (309 nucleotides) under Trifolium pratense (red clover). Its description in RNAcentral is "long non-coding RNA (TPRA_LNC002050)". Lineage: Eukaryota; Viridiplantae; Streptophyta; Magnoliopsida; Fabales; Fabaceae. The record is from RNAcentral.
CUGAAUUGAAGCUUGGGCCUCCUUACACAUGUUCUGCUUUCACUAAAAGAUCCAUUGAGCCAUUUGAAUUUAUGUCUUCAUGGAAUGAAUGUAGAGUUUGAGUUGAAGGGUCUGCUAACACAAUGAUAAACAUAAGUUUCAAAGAAGAAUUAUAUGAGAAAUAAAACAUAGAAAAAGUGAAACAUGGUAUUUUUGUGUACCUUAAUGUAUUUCCACAUUGCUAAGUACAUGGGAGAUUAUGAAGCAGAAGAAUAACAGAGGAGUGUAGUUAGUGAUGGUCAUGUUUUGUUGUUGAAUGCUAUUGCUAUC